CAGCACUUUCGCAUAAAGAGCUGAAGAAAAGGUGGCUCUGAUACAAGCUACCACUUACAGAUGAAUCCGCGUCCCAUUAGCCAGUUGGUGGGGUAACGGCCCACCAAAGCGACGAUGGGUAGCCGGCCUGAGAGGGUGCCGGCCACACUGGAACUGAGACACGGUCCAGACUCUCACGGGAGGCAGCAGUGGGGAAUCUUCCGCAAUGGGCGAAAGCCUGACGGAGCAACGCCGCGUGAGAGAAGAAGGCCUUCGGGUUGUAAAGCUCUGUGAUAUUGGACGAAAAAUCUCCCUGUGAACACAGGGGAGAAAAGACGGUACAGUAAGAGGAAGCCCCGGCUAACUACGUGCCAGCAGCCGCGGUAAUACGUAGGGGGCAAACGUUGUCCGGAAUGACUGGGCGUAAAGGGCGAGUAGGUGGUAUGCCAAGUCAGAAGCGAAAACUCCGGGCUCAACCUGGAGAUUGCUACUGAAACUGGCAAACUUGAGUGCAGGAGAGGGAAGCGGAAUUCCUAGUGUAGCGGUGAAAUGCGUAGAUAUUAGGAGGAACACCAGUGGCGAAGGCGGCUUCCUGGCCUGUAACUGACACUGAGGCGCGAAAGCGUGGGGAGCGAACAGGAUUAGAUACCCUGGUAGUCCACGC
RNAcentral lists this ribosomal RNA (643 nucleotides) under uncultured bacterium. RNAcentral's name for it is "bacterial SSU rRNA". It matches the Rfam family "Bacterial small subunit ribosomal RNA", at positions 173 to 800 of the family's 1533-position model. The record is from RNAcentral.